RNAcentral lists this ribosomal RNA (451 nucleotides) under Bacillus sp. GOD NKPN21. RNAcentral's name for it is "bacterial SSU rRNA". It matches the Rfam family "Bacterial small subunit ribosomal RNA", at positions 80 to 523 of the family's 1533-position model. The record is from RNAcentral. Lineage: Bacteria; Bacillati; Bacillota; Bacilli; Caryophanales; Bacillaceae.
UCACCAAGGAUGCCAGCCGCCGCGGUAUAUCGGGAACCUAGAAUGUAGACUGGGAUAAUCCUCCGGGAAACCGGGGCUAAUACCGGAUGCUUCGUUUGAACCGCAUGGUUCAAACAUGAAAGGUGGCUUCGGCUACCACUUACAGAUGGACCCGCGGCGCAUUAGCUAGUUGGUGAGGUAACGGCUCACCAAGGCAACGAUGCGUAGCCGACCUGAGAGGGUGAUCGGCCACACUGGGACUGAGACACGGCCCAGACUCCUACGGGAGGCAGCAGUAGGGAAUCUUCCGCAAUGGACGAAAGUCUGACGGAGCAACGCCGCGUGAGUGAUGAAGGUUUUCGGAUCGUAAAGCUCUGUUGUUAGGGAAGAACAAGUGCCGUUCAAAUAGCGCGGCACCUUGACGGUACCUAACCAGAAAGCCACGGCUAACUACGUGCCACCAGCGGCGUAA